GAUGAACGCUGGCGGCGUGCCUAAUACAUGCAAGUCGAGCGAACGGACGAGAAGCUUGCUUCUCUGAUGUUAGCGGCGGACGGGUGAGUAACACGUGGAUAACCUACCUAUAAGACUGGGAUAACUUCGGGAAACCGGAGCUAAUACCGGAUAAUAUUUUGAACCGCAUGGUUCAAAAGUGAAAGACGGUCUUGCUGUCACUUAUAGAUGGAUCCGCGCUGCAUUAGCUAGUUGGUAAGGUAACGGCUUACCAAGGCAACGAUGCAUAGCCGACCUGAGAGGGUGAUCGGCCACACUGGAACUGAGACACGGUCCAGACUCCUACGGGAGGUAGCAGUAGGGAAUCUUCCGCAAUGGGCGAAAGCCUGACGGAGCAACGCCGCGUGAGUGAUGAAGGUCUUCGGAUCGUAAAACUCUGUUAUUAGGGAAGAACAUAUGUGUAAGUAACUGUGCACAUCUUGACGGUACCUAAUCAGAAAGCAACGGCUAACUACGUG
This 497-nucleotide ribosomal RNA is filed under the name uncultured bacterium. RNAcentral's name for it is "partial 16S ribosomal RNA". It matches the Rfam family "Bacterial small subunit ribosomal RNA", at positions 28 to 507 of the family's 1533-position model. The record is from RNAcentral.